UUCGCAAUGCCCGAAAGGGUGACGAAGCGACGCCGCGUGGGUGAGGAAGGCCUUCGGGUUGUAAAGCCCUGUCAGGAGUUAAGAAAUGUAAGUGCGCUAAUAUCGCAUUUAUUUGACAAAGGCUCCAAAGGAAGCCACGGCUAACUCUGUGCCAGCAGCCGCGGUAAUACAGAGGUGGCAAGCGUUGUUCGGAAUUAUUGGGCGUAAAGAGCACGUAGGUGGGUUUGUAAGUCAGACGUGAAAGCCUUCUGUUCAACGGAAGAAUUGCAUCUGAAACUGCAAGUCUUGAGUGUAGGAGGGGAGAAUGGAACUUCUGGUGGAGCGGUGAAAUGCGUAGAUAUCAGAAGGAACGCCGGUGGCGAAAGCGAUUCUCUGGCCUAUUACUGACACUCAGUGUGCGAAAGCUAGGGGAGCAAACGGGAUUAGAUACCCCGGUAGUCCUAGCUGUAAACGAUGGGCACUAAGUAGAGGGGUUUU
RNAcentral lists this ribosomal RNA (477 nucleotides) under uncultured anaerobic ammonium-oxidizing bacterium. RNAcentral's name for it is "bacterial SSU rRNA". It matches the Rfam family "Bacterial small subunit ribosomal RNA", at positions 365 to 832 of the family's 1533-position model. The record is from RNAcentral.